Molecule: ribosomal RNA, 532 nt
Filed under: Fusarium solani
Lineage: Eukaryota; Fungi; Ascomycota; Sordariomycetes; Hypocreales; Nectriaceae
Description: eukaryotic LSU rRNA
Rfam family: 5.8S ribosomal RNA (bases 159-312)
Source: RNAcentral
GAUGACAUUACCGAGUCUAACACUCAUCACUCUUGUGAACAUACCUAAAACGUUGCUUCGGCGGGAACAGACGGCCCCGUAAAACGGGCCGCCCCCGCCAGAGGACCCCUAACUCUGUUGCUAUAUGUAUCUUCUGAGUAAACAAGCAAAUAAAUUAAAACUUUCAACAACGGAUCUCUUGGCUCUGGCAUCGAUGAAGAACGCAGCGAAAUGCGAUAAGUAAUGUGAAUUGCAGAAUUCAGUGAAUCAUCGAAUCUUUGAACGCACAUUGCGCCCGCCAGUAUUCUGGCGGGCAUGCCUGUUCGAGCGUCAUUACAACCCUCAGGCCCCCGGGCCUGGCGUUGGGGAUCGGCGAGGCGCCCCCUGUGGGCACGCGCCGUCCCCCAAAUACAGUGGCGGUCCCGCCGCAGCUUCCAUUGCGUAGUAGCUAACACCUCGCAACUGGAGAGCGGCGCGGCCAUGCCGUAAAACACCCAACUUCUGAAUGUUGACCUCGAAUCAGGUAGGAAUACCCGCUGAACUUAAGCAUACA